UUUUCCUACGGGACGCAGCAGUGGGGAAUAUUGCACAAUGGGGGAAACCCUGAUGCAGCGACGCCGCGUGAGUGAAGAAGUAAGUCGUUAUGUAAAGGUCUAUCAGCAGGGAAGAAAAUGACGGUACCUGAGUAAGAAGCCCCGGCUAACUACGUGCCAGCAGCCGCGGUAAUACGUAGGGGGCAAGCGUUAUCCGGAUUCACUGGGUGUAAAGGGAGCGUAGACGGCAGUGCAAGUCUGGAGUGAAAGGCGGGGGCUCAACUCCCGGACUGCUCUGGAAACUGUACGGCUGGAGUGCAGGAGGG
RNAcentral lists this ribosomal RNA (305 nucleotides) under uncultured bacterium. RNAcentral describes it as "bacterial SSU rRNA". It matches the Rfam family "Bacterial small subunit ribosomal RNA", at positions 334 to 656 of the family's 1533-position model. The record is from RNAcentral.